GAUGAACGCUGGCGGCGUGCCUAAUACAUGCAAGUCGAGCGAACAGACGAUGAGCUUGCUCCUCUGACGUUAGCGGCGGACGGGUGAGUAACACGUGGAUAACCUACCUAUAAUACUGGGAUAACUUCGGGAAACCGGAGCUAAUACCGGAUAAUAUAUUGAACCGCAUGGUUCAAUAGUGAAAGACGGUUUUGCUGUCACUUAUAGAUGGAUCCGCGCCGCAUUAGCUAGUUGGUAAGGUAACGGCUUACCAAGGCAACGAUGCGUAGCCGACCUGAGAGGGUGAUCGGCCACACUGGAACUGAGACACGGUCCAGACUCCUACGGGAGGCAGCAGUAGGGAAUCUUCCGCAAUGGGCGAAAGCUUGACGGAGCAACGCCGCGUGAGUGAUGAAGGUCUUCGGAUCGUAAAACUCUGUUAUUAGGGAAGAACAAAUGUGUAAGUAACUAUGCACGUCUUGACGGUACCUAAUCAGAAAGCCACGGCUAACUACGUG
Molecule: ribosomal RNA, 497 nt
Filed under: uncultured bacterium
Lineage: Bacteria
Description: partial 16S ribosomal RNA
Rfam family: Bacterial small subunit ribosomal RNA
Source: RNAcentral